This 196-nucleotide ribosomal RNA is filed under the name uncultured Cortinariaceae. RNAcentral's name for it is "partial 28S ribosomal RNA". It matches the Rfam family "Eukaryotic large subunit ribosomal RNA", at positions 1 to 191 of the family's 3401-position model. Lineage: Eukaryota; Fungi; Basidiomycota; Agaricomycetes; Agaricales; Cortinariaceae. The record is from RNAcentral.
UGUGACCUCAAAUCAGGUAGGACUACCCCUGAACUUAAGCAUAUCAAUAAGCGGAGGAAAAGAAACUAACAAGGAUUCCCCUAGUAACUGCGAGUGAAGCGGGAAAAGCUCAAAUUUAAAAUCUGGCGGUCCUUUGGCUGUCCGAGUUGUAAUCUAGAGAAGUGUUAUCCGCGCUGGACCGUGACCAAAGUCUCCU